GGUAGCUAUAAUUUAAAGGUAAAAUAGUCGUAUGUGGAGUGACGUAUCUGAGUUCAAUUCUCAGUAGUUACC
Non-coding RNA from Lodderomyces oxycetoniae, 72 nucleotides. The record is from the annotation of a RefSeq genome assembly. NCBI's taxonomy places the organism in Eukaryota, Fungi, Ascomycota, Pichiomycetes, Serinales, Debaryomycetaceae.